AUGGAGGCCUGCUGUAGCGUAGCCAGGAUAGUGAGCUUUGCACAUUUGGGCCUGAGAAUUUUGCCCAAGUUGCUGGCUCUUUCUCCCGAUUCACUGGGGAAAUUCAGAAAGGUCUCACCACCGAUGGAAACUGAAACUGUGGUGAGAAAAUUGCCGGAGCUGCCGCAGGAUGUAUUGAUGGAAAUAUUUUCACUCCUCGAGAUACCUGACCUCAUGCGUGCGGCCUCUGUCAGCACCUCCUGGCGCUCUGCGUAUACCAGCCUAUGCAACGACCUUGAGCUGUACAAACGGCCUCAGACGCCUUGCCUCCUCUACACCUCUGAAUCUGCUGGUGAGAACGUCGCUUGUCUCUACAGCCUCGCGGAGAAGAGGGUCUACAAUUUAACUCUCCCGGAUCCACCCAUCCGCAGUAGGUAUCUGAUUGGGUCCUCGCAUGGUUGGCUAGUUACCGCAGAUGACAAGUCUGAGCUCCACCUUAUCAAUCCGAUCACUGGUCAACAGAUUGCUCUCCCGCCGGUGAUCACCAUCGAUUAUGUAGAGCCAAUCUUUGACGAUGCAGGUACAAUUGUUAAGUAUGGAUUGCCCGAGCAAGUGUACUGUGCGGACUCAGGCUCCAAACUCGUUGAUCCCAAAAUGUUAACCUAUGCUCCCGACGAGCUUCGUGACCACCUCUAUGUCAGGGCAUUUAUCUUUCCGGAUCCGUCGGCAGGAAGCUACAUUGUGGUUCUCAUCCACGGUCCAGAAGGUGAGCUUUCGUUUGCAAGGAUAGGAGAUUGUAAGUGGACCUUGCUGCCCCCUGGUUGGGACUAUAAACAAUGCAUCUACAUGCAUGAUCUAUUGUAUGCAUUCACGGGAACUGGAAGAAUUGAUACUUUUGAUCUCACUGGCCCUACCGUCACGAGGAACAUAACUAUAGAUGAGAUUGACAAUUACAUUAGCUGGGACAUGUGGUAUGUUGUUCAGGCACCGUGUGACGGCCUGCUUCAAGUCCGCAGAAAGAUUGAACUAAUAGAUGCGGCUUCUGAGGACCUCAUAGCUAUUAAAACUAGAAAAAUCUUGUUAUACAAAGUUGAUAUGGCAGCAGAAGAGCUUGUGGAAAUAAAUGGCUUGCAACAUCACGUGUUGUUUCUUGGGCGUAAUCAGGCACAGUACCUUAAUGCUGAAGAAUAUCCGCAACUGAAGGAAAAUUGUGUCUAUUUCGCAGAUGAUGAGCAACAUAAUUGGAGGUAUAAGCCGAAUCCCCGGGACAUAGGUGUUCUCAACUUGGAUGAUGACAGUACGGAAGAAAUUGUAUUCCAGCUUUGGUGCAGCUGGCCCAGUCCCAUAUGGAUAACACCCAGUCUUACAGUGAUGAACUUGUCAUUGUACGAAUAG
This 1374-nucleotide ribosomal RNA is filed under the name Triticum aestivum (bread wheat). Its description in RNAcentral is "partial small subunit ribosomal RNA". Lineage: Eukaryota; Viridiplantae; Streptophyta; Magnoliopsida; Poales; Poaceae. The record is from RNAcentral.